AGUCGCCGCGGGAAUACAGAGGGUGCGAGCGUUAAUCGGAUUUACUGGGCGUAAAGCGUGCGUAGGCGGCUUUUUAAGUCGGAUGUGAAAUCCCUGAGCUUAACUUAGGAAUUGCAUUCGAUACUGGGAAGCUAGAGUAUGGGAGAGGAUGGUAGAAUUCCAGGUGUAGCGGUGAAAUGCGUAGAGAUCUGGAGGAAUACCGAUGGCGAAGGCAGCCAUCUGGCCUAAUACUGACGCUGAGGUACGAAAGCAUGGGGAGCAAACAGGAUUAGAUACCCCCGUAGUCCCUGUCUCUUAUACA
This 301-nucleotide ribosomal RNA is filed under the name uncultured bacterium. RNAcentral describes it as "partial 16S ribosomal RNA". It matches the Rfam family "Bacterial small subunit ribosomal RNA", at positions 510 to 808 of the family's 1533-position model. The record is from RNAcentral.